GCAAACGGACCCAACUACUUGCCACCGUUGCCACCAGUUCGCAACCAGUUCACCAUCGUCGGCUAUACGGGCAUCGGUGAAAAUAAAUACUAUAUCACUGCAAAGGGUUGUUCAAAGUGGGUCGCAAAGGGUGUGAUAUAAUUAUCACCAAGGACAAAGGUGUUUCUUGGGUACAUGCAGAAAUAUUUGUUGAGGAGACGACUUCUGCUAAUCCCCUGAAGACUUCUAGUUUGUCCAACAAAGUUCAAAUUAAAGAUUGCUCAAAGUACGGAACAUUUAUUAAUAAGAGCCUUGGGUCAAUGGAGAAAUUCCAUGAGUUCCCACGAAAAGAAACAAGUCUAACAGAUGGGAACCUGAUUUCAUUUGGAACUGGUAA
This is a long non-coding RNA of Humulus lupulus (European hop), 376 nucleotides long. RefSeq lists it as uncharacterized. The transcript has 3 exons. The record is from RefSeq and is a predicted model, not a curated record. NCBI's taxonomy places the organism in Eukaryota, Viridiplantae, Streptophyta, Magnoliopsida, Rosales, Cannabaceae.